This 801-nucleotide ribosomal RNA is filed under the name uncultured archaeon. Its description in RNAcentral is "bacterial SSU rRNA". It matches the Rfam family "Archaeal small subunit ribosomal RNA", at positions 72 to 870 of the family's 1478-position model. The record is from RNAcentral.
GCACCACCGGCGGACGGCUCAGUAACACGUCGGUAACCUACCCUCGGGAGGGGGAUAACCCCGGGAAACUGGGGCUAAUUCCCCAUAGGCCUGAGGUACUGGAAGGUCCUCAGGCCGAAAGGGACUUAUGUCCGCCCGAGGAUGGGCCGGCGGCCGAUUAGGUAGUUGGUGGGGUAAUGGCCCACCAAGCCGAAGAUCGGUACGGGCUGUGAGAGCAGGAGCCCGGAGAUGGACACUGAGACACGGGUCCAGGCCCUACGGGGCGCAGCAGGCGCGAAACCUCCGCAAUGCGGGAAACCGCGACGGGGGGACCCCGAGUGCCGUGGCAACGCCACGGCUUUUCCGGAGUGUAAAAAGCUCCGGGAAUAAGGGCUGGGCGAGGCCGGUGGCAGCCGCCGCGGUAAUACCGGCGGCCCGAGUGGUGGCCGCUAUUAUUGGGCCUAAAGCGUCCGUAGCCGGGCCCGUAAGUCCCUGGCGAAAUCCCACGGCUCAACCGUGGGGCUUGCUGGGGAUACUGCGGGUCUUGGGACCGGGAGAGGCGGGGGGUACCCCUGGGGUAGGGGUGAAAUCCUAUAAUCCCAGGGGGACCGCCAGUGGCGAAGGCGCCCCGCUGGAACGGGUCCGACGGUGAGGGACGAAGGCCAGGGGAGCAAACCGGAUUAGAUACCCGGGUAGUCCUGGCUGUAAAGGAUGCGGGCUAGGUGUCGGGUGAGCCUCGAGCUCGCCCGGUGCCGUAGGGAAGCCGUUAAGCCCGCCGCCUGGGGAGUACGGCCGCAAGGCUGAAACUUAAAGGAAUUGGCG